GGCGCGUAGGCGGAUUAUCAAGUCUCUUGUGAAAUCUAAUGGCUUAACCAUUAAACUGCUUGGGAAACUGAUAGUCUAGAGUGAGGGAGAGGCAGAUGGAAUUGGUGGUGUAGGGGUAAAAUCCGUAGAUAUCACCAAGAAUACCCAUUGCGAAGGCGAUCUGCUGGAACUCAACUGACGCUAAGGCGCGAAAGCGUGGGGAGCAAACAGGAUUAGAUACCCUGGUAGUCCACGCCCUAAACGAUGUACACUAGUUGUUGGGGUGCUAGUCAUCUCAGUAAUGCAGCUAACGCAUUAAGUGUACCGCCUGGGGAGUACGGUCGCAAGAUUAAAACUCAAAGGAAUAGACGGGGACCCGCACAAGCGGUGGAGCAUGUGGUUUAAUUCGAAGAUACGCGAAGAACCUUACCUGGGCUUGAUAUCCUAAGAACCUUAUAGAGAUAUGAGGGUGCUAGCUUGCUAGAACUUAGAGACAGGUGCUGCACGGCUGUCGUCAGCUCGUGUCGUGAGAUGUUGGGUUAAGUCCCGCAACGAGCGCAACCCACGUAUUUAGUUGCUAACGGUUCGGCCGAGCACUCUAAAUAGACUGCCUUCGUAAGGAGGAGGAAGGUGUGGACGACGUCAAGUCAUCAUGGCCCUUAUGCCCAGGGCGACACACGUGCUACAAUGGCAUAUACAAUGAGACGCAAUACCGCGAGGUGGAGCAAAUCUAUAAAAUAUGUCCCAGUUCGGAUUGUUCUCUGCAACUCGAGAGCAUGAAGCCGGAAUCGCUAGUAAUCGUAGAUCAGCCAUGCUACGGUGAAUACGUUCCCGGGUCU
RNAcentral lists this ribosomal RNA (818 nucleotides) under uncultured Campylobacter sp. Its description in RNAcentral is "bacterial SSU rRNA". It matches the Rfam family "Bacterial small subunit ribosomal RNA", at positions 566 to 1381 of the family's 1533-position model. The record is from RNAcentral. Lineage: Bacteria; Pseudomonadati; Campylobacterota; Epsilonproteobacteria; Campylobacterales; Campylobacteraceae.